RNAcentral lists this ribosomal RNA (424 nucleotides) under Verrucomicrobiota bacterium. RNAcentral's name for it is "Verrucomicrobia bacterium partial 16S ribosomal RNA". It matches the Rfam family "Bacterial small subunit ribosomal RNA", at positions 355 to 776 of the family's 1533-position model. The record is from RNAcentral. Lineage: Bacteria; Pseudomonadati; Verrucomicrobiota.
UGAGGAAUAUUGGUCAAUGGACGAGAGUCUGAACCAGCCAAGUAGCGUGCAGGAUGACGGCCCUAUGGGUUGUAAACUGCUUUUAUGUGGGGAUAAAGUGCGUGACGUGUCAUGCAUUGCAGGUACCACAUGAAUAAGGACCGGCUAAUUCCGUGCCAGCAGCCGCGGUAAUACGGAAGGUCCGGGCGUUAUCCGGAUUUAUUGGGUUUAAAGGGAGCGUAGGCUGUCUAUUAAGCGUGUUGUGAAAUUUACCGGCUCAACCGGUGGCUUGCAGCGCGAACUGGUCGACUUGAGUAUGCAGGAAGUAGGCGGAAUUCAUGGUGUAGCGGUGAAAUGCUUAGAUAUCAUGAAGAACUCCGAUUGCGAAGGCAGCUUACGGGAGCGCAACUGACGCUGAAGCUCGAAGGUGCGGGUAUCGAACAGG